This is a long non-coding RNA of Benincasa hispida (wax gourd), 768 nucleotides long. RefSeq lists it as uncharacterized. Lineage: Eukaryota; Viridiplantae; Streptophyta; Magnoliopsida; Cucurbitales; Cucurbitaceae. The record is from RefSeq and is a predicted model, not a curated record.
AAGAAAGAAAACCCAUCUCCUCCUCACGCACGGUUCCUUCCCCAGAAUUCUUCCUACUGCCUUCAACGAGUCGCGCCUCCCUCGCUACCUCCCGACCGCCAUGCCUCCCUCCACUGCCUCCCUUCGCCGCACGAGCUAGACUCGCCGCGCCCCUGCCGCUCUAGCCUUUUGACCACCCGCCAUCGUGCCGAUCUCGCCCUGACCGCCGCUCCGUCCACCAAGGACCGAAGCCGAACGACGACCCAACCCAGCCGUCACGCCUCUCGCUGCCGGUUCACUCCCCAAUGUCUGCCAUGUCGUUCUUCGAUGGGCCAACGACCUUCUUCAUCUAAGGGACUGCCCAUCUCCUGCUACCUUCGAUUGCUACUGGUUCUGUGGUUGGGUAAGUUGUUUAACGUAUCGGUUAAUUGUAGUGUCAUUUACUUGAUUUUUUGGUUGGAUGCUAGGAUUGGAGUUUGAAGGAAAUUUCGUGCGCUGUCCAUCGACUGUUGAAGUUUCUUUUGCGGAGAUUUUUGAUUGGAACUUUUGCUUGGGAGUGGUGGGACUACCUUUGAAACCAAGCCACAUUUUUGGGUUGAUUCAAGCCUUCCAAAGGCCGUGAGAAGAUUAGUUGUGUGGACUAGAAUUUGCGACCAAUUUUUGAAGUAAGGGUAGAGAUGUACCGGCGAUGGCAUAGCAGAAUUCAUGAUCGAGCCACUGGGACUAUUUUUUUUUUUUUUUACACUUCCGCAUUAUGAGAUUUAGAGUUCUUUUCAUGUUUCCCUUAAU